GAUGAACGCUAGCGGGAGGCCUAACACAUGCAAGCCGAGCGGUAUUUGUUCUUCGGAACAGAGAGAGCGGCGCACGGGUGCGGAACACGUGUGCAACCUGCCUUUAUCUGGGGGAUAGCCUUUCGAAAGGAAGAUUAAUACCCCAUAAUAUAUUGAGUGGCAUCACUUGAUAUUGAAAACUCCGGUGGAUAGAGAUGGGCACGCGCAAGAUUAGAUAGUUGGUGAGGUAACGGCUCACCAAGUCAAUGAUCUUUAGGGGGCCUGAGAGGGUGAUCCCCCACACUGGUACUGAGACACGGGCCAGACUCCUACGGGAGGCAGCAGUGAGGAAUAUUGGACAAUGGGUUAGCGCCUGAUCCAGCCAUCCCGCGUGAAGGACGACGGCCCUAUGGGUUGUAAACUUCUUUUGUAUAGGGAUAAACCUACUCUCGUGAGAGUAGCUGAAGGUACUAUACGAAUAAGCACCGGCUAACUCCGUG
Molecule: ribosomal RNA, 479 nt
Filed under: uncultured bacterium
Lineage: Bacteria
Description: partial 16S ribosomal RNA
Rfam family: Bacterial small subunit ribosomal RNA
Source: RNAcentral